Molecule: ribosomal RNA, 17 nt
Filed under: Anopheles aconitus
Lineage: Eukaryota; Metazoa; Arthropoda; Insecta; Diptera; Culicidae
Description: partial 28S ribosomal RNA
Source: RNAcentral
GUAGGCCUCAAGUGAUG